Molecule: long non-coding RNA, 220 nt
Filed under: Nicotiana benthamiana
Lineage: Eukaryota; Viridiplantae; Streptophyta; Magnoliopsida; Solanales; Solanaceae
Description: long non-coding RNA (NBEN_LNC000606)
Source: RNAcentral
GGGUCGGAAUUCUGAGCCGACCAAACUGUCCUGAAGGAGCAACCUGAAAAACUGGCCGGAAAGACUGUCACGCGCCGGCGCGUGGGCUGACGCGCCGAAGGCUCUGACGGCGCGUGGCGGCGCGUGGGGCAGAUUUGGCCGGAGAAAUUUCUGGGGGUUUGUCGCCGGACAGAGGCGAGUCUUUUGGUAUUGCUGGAUUUUGCACAGCACUGACCGAGAU